This is a long non-coding RNA of Cydia splendana, 192 nucleotides long. RefSeq lists it as uncharacterized. The transcript is spliced from 2 exons. Lineage: Eukaryota; Metazoa; Arthropoda; Insecta; Lepidoptera; Tortricidae. The record is from RefSeq and is a predicted model, not a curated record.
AUUUGAUCAUGUAAUGUUUUCAUCUACCCUCAACUGGCUUAAGGAGCCAUUUGAAGAUAGAUGAAAACAUUACAUGAUCAAAUAAUGUAGGUUAAAAUCAGGUCGUUCAGUGACAGAUCAAGGUGGUUUUGUAUUUGGUGGGUUAACCAAUAAAUGUUAUAACUACCCGAAAAUGUACAAAUUGUUUGUUUA